AGUGAACGCUGGCGGUAGGCCUAACACAUGCAAGUCGAACGGCAGCACAGUAAGAGCUUGCUCUUACGGGUGGCGAGUGGCGGACGGGUGAGGUAUACAUCGGAAUCUACUUUUUCGUGGGGGAUAACGUAGGGAAACUUACGCUAAUACCGCAUACGACCUACGGGUGAAAGCAGGGGAUCUUCGGACCUUGCGCGAUUGAAUGAGCCGAUGUCGGAUUAGCUAGUUGGCGGGGUAAAGGCCCACCAAGGCGACGAUCCGUAGCUGGUCUGAGAGGAUGAUCAGCCACACUGGAACUGAGACACGGUCCAGACUCCUACGGGGGGCAGCAGUGGGGAAUAUUGGACAAGGGGCGCAAGCCUGAUCCAGCCAUACCGCGUGGGUGAAGAAGGCCUUCGGGUUGUAAAGCCCUUUUGUUGGGAAAGAAAAGCAGCAGGUUAAUACCCCGCUGUUCUGACGGUACCCAAAGAAUAAGCACCGGCUAACUUCGUG
RNAcentral lists this ribosomal RNA (492 nucleotides) under uncultured bacterium. RNAcentral describes it as "partial 16S ribosomal RNA". It matches the Rfam family "Bacterial small subunit ribosomal RNA", at positions 29 to 507 of the family's 1533-position model. The record is from RNAcentral.